GAUCAAGUGACGGCGCGUGGGCAGCAGGAACGGCGCGGGCGCCCCGUCCGUUCGUCACUCUGGCCGUUGUUCGUUGGAAAACGGGUAUUUUUGUGGCAUGCGCUUAGCUUUACUUCCCUUUGAUAUAAAAGUGUAAUUCAUCGGUGCUUUGCAUGAAAAAACAUAUUUUUAGAGAUGUUACGAUCUCGGAAAAUGUUGGAUAUGCUCAAAGAUGACGCAGAAGAGCUUGAUCUUAAUUCAACAUUUACAAAAUAUGAUGCUGUUUAUACAAAGAACAACGUAAAUACUGUUGUGUAUGAUAACGAAACCACUAUGACACAUCAAACGUCAUCAUUGCCUCCUGGUGCAAAAGAAAUUUGUCAGGAACUAGCUGACGUAUAGGAAAAAAUCCUGCAUGAAGAUAAUGGAACCAAAGAAAUUACCUGCGACAGCUCAAUACCGAAUGCCACGUCUGAUCUGUCUACCGAGAGAGUCUACAGCAAUCAACCUAGUACACUUUCUUUGGAAG
RNAcentral lists this unclassified non-coding RNA (508 nucleotides) under Melitaea cinxia (Glanville fritillary). RNAcentral's name for it is "misc RNA ENSMCXG00005011595.1". Lineage: Eukaryota; Metazoa; Arthropoda; Insecta; Lepidoptera; Nymphalidae. The record is from RNAcentral.